CCUACGGGAGGCAGCAGUGAGGAAUAUUGGUCAAUGGGCGCGAGCCUGAACCAGCCAAGUCGCGUGAGGGAGGACGGCCCUACGGGUUGUAAACCUCUUUUGCCGGGGAGCAACGGGCGCCACGUGUGGCGUCACUGAGAGUACCCGGAGAAAAAGCAUCGGCUAACUCCGUGCCAGCAGCCGCGUUAAUACGGAGGUUGCGAGCGUUAUCCGUAUUUAUUGGGUUUAAAGGGUGCGUAGGCGGAGCGUUAAGUCAGUGGUCAAAUUGAGGGGCUCACCCCCUUCCCGCCAUUGAAACUGGCGUGCUAGAGUGGAAGAGAGGUAUGCGGAAUGCGUGGUGUAGCGGUGAAAUGCAUAGAUAUCACGCAGAACCCCGAUGGCGAAGGCAGCAUGCCGGCUUCCGACUGACGCUGAAGCACGAAAGCGUGGGGAUCGAACAGGAUUAGAUACCCGUGUAGUC
This 460-nucleotide ribosomal RNA is filed under the name uncultured bacterium. Its description in RNAcentral is "partial 16S ribosomal RNA". It matches the Rfam family "Bacterial small subunit ribosomal RNA", at positions 338 to 795 of the family's 1533-position model. The record is from RNAcentral.